UAGAGCCUGCUGUGUGCGUGAUGCCGCUUUAUGUUUCGGGCCAACACUCUCUAAUUAGGGUAUCGAGUUUAGCUGAGGACGUGCGGCAAUAGCCACCACGGAAACCGGCGACAGAUACCCCCCCUGCGAGACGCAGGUUCCAAAACCCGGCGACACACGGCAUAGCGGGUCCUAC
Molecule: non-coding RNA, 175 nt
Filed under: Chloroflexota bacterium
Lineage: Bacteria; Bacillati; Chloroflexota
Description: Chloroflexi bacterium 6S RNA
Rfam family: 6S / SsrS RNA
About the family: E. coli 6S RNA was the first non coding RNA to be sequenced, but its function was unknown until recently. It consists of 184 nucleotides that fold into an extended hairpin structure with a large single-stranded internal bulge.
Source: RNAcentral